RNAcentral lists this long non-coding RNA (935 nucleotides) under Vigna radiata. RNAcentral's name for it is "long non-coding RNA (VRAD_LNC010737)". The record is from RNAcentral. Lineage: Eukaryota; Viridiplantae; Streptophyta; Magnoliopsida; Fabales; Fabaceae.
CUUAUUAUAAUGAUAUAAAAGAGAGAUAGAUUGAAUUUGAUAAAAUUGUUAAGUAGGAUUAGGUUGAACAAAGCAGAGAAGGGGUUGUUGUAAUGACAUAAUCAAUCAGAAAAUUAUGAUAUGGAAAUAAUUAAUGAAAAGACAAUGUACCAAACCAUUAUAAUUUAAGAUGAAAAUAGAAAGAUUAUUUUAACACGGAAUCUUGGAGAUGAACCACUCCAUCACCACAAUAGGAGCCUUGAUGAGCGCCAGAGCAAACUCUACUAUGAUGGUCACGCAAAGACAACAAGGACAUAUGCACGUCAAAAUCAACCUUCAAAGAAUCAAAAUCAAAAGGGUAUUUCAAAUUUCAUCAUAGAUUAUCAAAUUCAGAAUUUAGCAGAGAAAGAAGAGAAGCUUACCCAACAAUCCAAACAAGCACACCCACAAGGGAGAUGAAAAGAGACAAGAAGGCAAAAGGCAGGCCCAACAGAAACCCAAGUGGCCUGCAUUUACAGUCUUCAGAGCAGCAGCACAUUCUUCAAAUAAUUAAUAUCUUCUUAAUUCAUCUUCUCAUUCAUAUGCUUACUAUAUAUAUACAUAUAUAUGUUGAAGCUUUUAUCUUAUCGAGAAGUUGAAUGCAACAUGAAGUAGAGCAGAGAAGAGAAUUAGGUGCCGGUUAGCCACCUGCACUGAUCCUAUUGCUAGAAAGAGUGGGGUUGAUUAGCAUACCAAAACUCCCUUAUUCAACGUUUUUGUUGUAUUUUAUUGGGAAAGUAAUCAAACGUGGCAGUUUCAAAUAGUUGACUGUGAGGCCUGUCUGCGUCGCCAUGCUAAGAUCGAAUCAUUCAGUGAUCUGUUCAACUUGGGGCGUUAUCAUCUUUAUCAAGAUAAAUACCACACCCAACAUGUCUGCAAUUUCAUUCACACAUUUCUUCAAACAAUUACAAGCCCUG